UAAGUCAGGCGGCCGCUGCCCAACCCGCCCCCCCAACCCCCGCCCCAGCUCCGCGUCUCUCUCUUGCCCGCCCGCGGCCCGGGAACCGGCCCUGCGCUCCCCAGCUCGCCUCUGUUCGCAGCCCGCCGGGUGCGCAUCAGGCUCGCCCUGGCUCGGGAGAUGCUGUAGGGCUGCGUGUUCCAGGUGACUCCAGCCAUAGCCAGGCGUGAUCCGAUGAUACUGAUGGGUACCUCUCCCAGGAGAGGACCCUUCCGGGCGGAGUGCACCCGGGGCCCAGCUCCUGUCCCCGCCCCCAACCCUUUGCCGGCUCGUUUCGAGGGUGCGAAUUGGGUUCUUUGCCCCCCACUAAAUAGCAACAGUUUGGCCACGCUCAAGUGGAAUAAAGUAGAGGCGGCUCGGUUUCCUGACAGGCGGUGGCAGAUAGCAGCGGCGGAGGCUAUCCUUAGCUGAGGAGGGAAGGUGACAGAUAGGGACUUAGGGACUGCUUGAGAACCAAUUGAGAUUGUUUUUUUUAACUGCUACCUUUUGGAGACAACAAAACAUGCCAAUAAGUAAACAAGUUGGAAGCUGGCUGCUCCUGAGGAGACUUCGGACGUGUUCAGGCCGUCAUGGACGCCUACCUCUUUGCUUUUCCUUCCCCCCCCCCCCCGCCGCCUUCUCCAACCCCAUUUUGGGCAUUUCCGAGACAUCCCCCCCUUUCCCACCCUCAUCUGCAUCUGGGCGCCUACAGACCCUUUCCUGGCUUGGGCUUCCAUAACUGCCCAGGAUAAUUCUGAGUCAGGCUGAUGGAGGAGGAAGAGCGAAGAGGAUCUGUGAUUUGGGAAGGGGAUUUCUUCCACAAUUCUGCGGUUCCUUUUUUUUUCCCCUCAAAAAUUGAACUCUGCGUGGCGUUUGGCUCGUUUGCCCCGUCUGAGUGGGACCUGCGGUAGUGGCC
Molecule: long non-coding RNA, 934 nt
Filed under: Rattus norvegicus (Norway rat)
Lineage: Eukaryota; Metazoa; Chordata; Mammalia; Rodentia; Muridae
Description: long non-coding RNA NONRATT002783
Source: RNAcentral